Molecule: ribosomal RNA, 433 nt
Filed under: uncultured bacterium
Lineage: Bacteria
Description: partial 16S ribosomal RNA
Rfam family: Bacterial small subunit ribosomal RNA
Source: RNAcentral
AGCGAACGCUGGCGGCAGGCUUAACACAUGCCAGUCGAGCGGGCACUUCGGUGUCAGCGGCAGACGGGUGAGUAACACGUGGGAACGUACCCUUUGGUUCGGAAUAACGCUGGGAAACUAGCGCUAAUACCGGAUACGCCCUUUUGGGGAAAGGCUUGCUGCCGAAGGAUCGGCCCGCGUCUGAUCAGCUAGUUGGUGGGGUAAUGGCCUACCAAGGCGACGAUCAGUAGCUGGUCUGAGAGGAUGAUCAGCCACACUGGGACUGAGACACGGCCCAGACUCCUACGGGAGGCAGCAGUGGGGAAUAUUGGACAAUGGGCGCAAGCCUGAUCCAGCCAUGCCGCGUGAGUGAUGAAGGCCUUAGGGUUGUAAAGCUCUUUUGUCCGGGACGAUAAUGACGGUACCGGAAGAAUAAGCCCCGGCUAACUUCGUG